Molecule: non-coding RNA, 73 nt
Organism: Bufo gargarizans (Asiatic toad)
Lineage: Eukaryota; Metazoa; Chordata; Amphibia; Anura; Bufonidae
Source: the annotation of a RefSeq genome assembly
GGUUUCAUAGUGUAGUGGUCAUCACAUCUGCUUUACACACAAAAGGUCUUGGGUUCAAUCCCCAGUGAAACCG